UAGCUAGCAAGUUCAUGGAUC
Molecule: microRNA, 21 nt
Filed under: Populus trichocarpa (black cottonwood)
Lineage: Eukaryota; Viridiplantae; Streptophyta; Magnoliopsida; Malpighiales; Salicaceae
Also listed under: 1 other name
Description: ptc-miR6461
Source: miRBase by way of RNAcentral